This 480-nucleotide ribosomal RNA is filed under the name uncultured bacterium. RNAcentral describes it as "partial 16S ribosomal RNA". It matches the Rfam family "Bacterial small subunit ribosomal RNA", at positions 28 to 506 of the family's 1533-position model. The record is from RNAcentral.
GAUGAACGCUGGCGGCGUGCCUAACACAUGCAAGUCGAGCGGAGAUUACGGACGGAAGUUUUCGGAUGGAAGACUGUAAUUCUUAGUGGCGGACGGGUGAGUAACGCGUGGGCAACCUGCCCUAUACAGGGGGAUAGCAGCUGGAAACGGCUGGUAAGACCGCAUAAGUCGGUUAAAUCGCAUGAUUUGAUCGGGAAAUGAGCAAUCAGGUAUAGGAUGGGCCCGCGUCCGAUUAGCCAGUUGGCAGGGUAAAAGCCUACCAAAGCGACGAUCGGUAGCCGGACUGAGAGGUCGGACGGCCACAUUGGGACUGAGACACGGCCCAAACUCCUACGGGAGGCAGCAGUGGGGGAUAUUGCACAAUGGAGGAAACUCUGAUGCAGCGACGCCGCGUGAGUGAAGAAGUAUUUCGGUAUGUAAAGCUCUAUCAGCAGGGAAGAUGAUGACGGUACCUGACUAAGAAGCCCCGGCUAACUACGU